Heterocephalus glaber (naked mole-rat) is the source of this 4371-nucleotide non-coding RNA. Lineage: Eukaryota; Metazoa; Chordata; Mammalia; Rodentia; Bathyergidae. The record is from RefSeq and is a predicted model, not a curated record.
CGGCACUAGUUGCGGGGCGCGUUCCGAGCAGCCGGCCCUUGCCGCCCCGCCCCCCGGCACGCAGGCCCGCGGUAUCGCGCACGCGCCCGCGCAACGGCGAUCGUCGAUCAGGCCUAGGGAGGGAGCGGGACUGGGACGAGGACUGGCCAAGGCGGGCGGAGGCUCGGCGCUGAGGUGCGCGGGGAGGAGCCCGGGCCGCGUUGCCCUAGGACGGGAGUAUGUCCGCAACUCGAGCCAAGAAAGUGAAGAUGGCCACCAAGUCCUGCCCUGAGUGCGACCAACAGGUCCCUGUUGCAUGUAAAUCAUGUCCCUGUGGUUACAUAUUUAUUAGCAGAAAACUUUUAAAUGCAAAGCACUCAGAGAAAUCACCAUCUUCUACAGAAAACAAGCAUGAGGCCAAGAGGAGGCGAACAGAGAGAGUUAGGAGAGAGAAGAUAAAUUCUACAGUAAAUAAAAAUUUAGAAAACAGAAAGAGGUCUCGAAGUAACAGCCAUUCAGAUCAUAUCAGACGAGGAAGAGGAAGACCUAAAAGUGCAUCUGCCAAAAAACAUGAGGAAGAAAGAGGAAGCUACUACAAAUUACAUGCCACCAAAAUGAAGCAAAUCAAGCAAGAAUACUGACAUCCAGGACAGAGAGGAUCUAUAUGAGGGAGAUGAGAAGCUCCAGUGUGAUGUUGAAGAACAGUCACAGGAUGAUAAUUGUGCAGUAGGCCUAGAGAGCAACCAUUUCAGAUUGGAGCAGAGAAACAGGAAAAGGAAAUUGACAUCUAUGCUAACCUCUCUGAUGAAAAGGCUUUCGUGUUUUCAGUCGCCUUGGCAGAAAUAAAUAGAAAAAUUAUCAAUCAAAGACUUAUUCUCUGAUCCUUGUCUGAAGAAUCUGUUGAAACUUCUUCAGGAUUACAUCAGCAAAUUCUCAAAGUUAUGGACUCUCAGGAGCAUUCUGACUGCAUCAAUAAGGGGCAUUGAUUGUUUUUAUUUAUCAUUUAGCCUGUGGCACACUUUGGGAGUAAAGCUGUAUGCUCAGAUUGUUCUGGGAUUUCCUUGUUUACCAAGGUGUAUUGUCAGUGUUUUGUGUUGGGAUAUAAGUAAGGGUAUUUACAAAACCAAACGAAACAAAAUGUUGAAUGAAUGGAUAUUAAACAUAAAAAGGGGUAGCAAGGGGUAGCAGUAAGGGUGGCAGUAUGAAAACUAGGGAAAUGAAAUGCUUGAUAGUUUUCAGAUUUGCCACCAGAGAUGGAAUAUUUUAAAUACUAUCAGAAAGAGUGAUGUUUAAAUAUACAUGUAUAUGUCAGAUUUUCAGCACUAACAGGUUGCAUAUAUACAGUUCCUUUACCUUUAAUAAACUGGGAAUUGAUAUUUUAUUGAAUGGGGAAUUAAGAAUAUAAGCUGUAAAUUUUGUCCUGAAUUGAUUUUUUUCCUUGGCCAUUUUUAAGACGAGGUAUGAGUUAUAUUUUAAGAGAUACUUUCUAAACAGUUUGGAAGUUUGGGUGCUAUAUGAAGAAAAACAUUAAGAAUAUAUCAUAUUUCAGAUGUAGACACCUUGUUUUAUUGAAUGUAGUUUAUUUAUUGGUUACAAAAAUUUGUCUCCUCUCAAGAUGGUGCCUGUUAACCUAAACCUUAGAAUAUAUUUAUUACAUGCAAAAUAUUUCUUAGAUAGCCACUUUUAAGCAGUAAUGUUUUUAUCGGAGUGGAUGUUCAUUUAUACAUCCUAUAAUAAUUUAAAUUGUUACUUAACCUCUGAAAGAAGAAAAAUAAAGCUUAAUAUUGAAACUAAGUAGAUUAAAUAUUGUGGCAUAAGCGUUUUGUUCUAGUGAAGUUCCUGAAAUACAUUUCAGUUCUUAGUUUUUCUGGUGCUAAGUGAACUGUUUAUGAUUGAUGCAUAGUAAGUGGCUUUGUAUUUUGGCAUACCAGUUUCAUGGUUAAUAUGUUCAGUUUUGGCAGAAAUUUCCCUUUUCAUUCCCUUCUCUCCCAAUCUAUUUGGAAGUCCCAAAGUCUUAUUAGGAGUCAACAGUUAGACAUCACCUCUAUAGUUAAGAGAAUCUCCCUUUUAAAAAAAGUAUAAUAUAUAUAAUAAUACAUUAUUUAUGGAGCACAGGGUAAUUAGCAUAUCCAUCACAAACAUUUUCAUUUAUGUUGUAAACAAUUAAAAAUCUUCUCUACUAGCUGUUUUGAAGUAUACCAUUAAUUAUUGUCAACCAUAAUUGCCUUUCAAUUUCAACAUUAGCAUUGUCAGCUUCAUCUUUUUAUCUUGCAUCUCCUAUCUGCCCAAAAGAAAACAGGUCUACUUUUUUCCCUCCUUUAUAUAAAUUGGCAGAGGGAGCUUAAAUCCUUUGCUCUUAAUCUUUGUGUAUGCCUGCAGGUGCUACUGCAUUUGCCUUUUGUUUAAAACUCCUCGUAAUGGGCCAGGAACUUAGCUCAGUGGUGCUGUUACCUGCCUUGCAAGUGCGAGGUCCUGAGUUUGAUCCCUGAUACCACAAAAAACCCCCACAAAAAACAAAACUACUAGUAAUAAGGUUUUUCCAUGAUUAUAAUGUACUUUAUUUAUUUAUUUUGGUACUGGGGAUCUAACUCGGGUCCUUUUGUCUGCAGGUCAGGCGGCAGAACCACAAAGCUAAAUCCCCAGCUGUGAAAUUUUAUUUUUAAAAUAUACUGUAGGAAAACUUGAUUUUGAACAAGAAAGCUUAAAAAUAAUAUCUAAAGAUCCUUUGGAACAUACUAUUUAUGUCCCCCAGAAAAAGCAAGAAUAUCUUGUAGAAUAGGCAUCUCUUUAAAGAAUUACUGCUGUCAGAGUCAAUCAGUUAAAAGCUGGAGACCAUUAGAGGAAAGUACUAGAUGUUAAAAUACUCCCUAGAUAGUGAAGGAGAUACCAUGUAGAAAAGUGUUUUACUUAAUGUUCAUAAUGUAAAAUUGUUUGGCAGAGAGGCAAAUUAGGUUUCCCUGUUUAUGACAUCUCAUUUAACCAAUUUCUUUAAAAAUUGUCUUCUCUAGUAGUAAAUUACAAGUUCUCUUAUUGUAAAGCUCAAAAAUUUGUCUAGAUGUAAUGGUCCCAGUAAAUACUUUUUUACUAGUAUUGAAGAAAUCUCUCUUGGUCAGUGGAUAUUCUAAGAGUGUAAUUAUAAUUUUUUAAAUACUUGAUCCAAAAUUUGUUCUGCUCUAAUACAUGUAAGUGGUAUGAUUAUUCAAAAUGUCCUGAAAUUGUUCUAUGUCUGUUGAAGAUAUGUUUCUUUUUCUUUUUCUUUUUUUUUUUUUGCAACAAGGUCUUGCUAUAUAGUGCAUAUAGUUCAGGCUAACCUUGACCUCACUAGUGUAACACAGGCUGGCCUCAAACUCACAGUGAUACUCCUGCCUCAGCCUCCUGAGUGCUGGGAUUACAGAUGUGUGCCACUAUGCCUGGCAUAUUUGUUUUUCAGUAGGAACAAAACGGCAUGAAAGUAAUUUGAGAGAAUUUGGAGCAUAGGCUAAAAUAGACUUUUUUUUUUUUUUGGUACCGGGGAUUGAACUCAGGACCUUGUGCUUGCAAGGCAGGUGGCAGAACUACUGAGCUAAAUCCCCAGCCUUGAUAGUUGUAUUUUUAAACUUCUCCCCUCCCACCAACUCCAUAGUAUUCCAAAAUAUUUGGGGGGAUAAUUUAGCAAUUUAAUGCUUGAAGUUUGGUUUUGUUGUUUAUUAGUUUCAAACAUGAACUUUUAAAAUACUUUCAUGGGGGAGGAAGCCUUGGGUGAUAUUUAAAUGUAAAUUGUCUUAAAGCAAGGGAAAUACUGCAGAAUAUUUCUAAUGUAGCAGUCAAUGGAAAUGAUCAAACACCUUGAGGCAAUUUAUAUUCUGGUCAGAUAAAAAUUAUACUUACAAAAUGCUCAGUGGUUCUGCCACCUGCCUCUCAAGUGCAAAGACCCGAGUUCGAUCCCCAGUACCAGAAAAAAAAAUUAUACUUACGAGGCUGGAAAUGUACCUCAGUGGAAGAGUGCUUUUUUUCUUCCCUUUUGUUAUUAGUGUAUUUUUUUUUUUUGUACGGGGGAUCAAACUUGGGUCCUUGCGCUUGUGAGGCAGGUGGCAGCGGAACCACUGAGCUAAAUCCCCAAAGUGUAUGUUUGCAAUACAUAAUAAAUACAUUCGUUGUAGGGAAUUGGCUCAUAUACAUAUUGCACCUCGAUCUUUUUUACUUUCUCCCUUUUCUCCUGUACCCCCCCAACCUUCAUUAAGAGUGCUUGCCCAGCAUGUUUGAGCCCCUGGGUUCAGAUACCAGCACCAGGACCCCUCAAAAGUUAGAAAUAACUUAAAAAUGUAGUCUGAGUAAAGUCACAUUUCCUAAAAUUUCAGAAGGCACCCUCUGUUUUGUAUCCUAAAAAUAAUUAUAUAAGUGGAAUUUUCCUAA